GCAGUGGUGGCUCAGUGGUGGAAUUCUUGCCUUCCAUGUGGGAGGUCUGGGUUUGAUUUCCAGCUAAUGCA
This 71-nucleotide transfer RNA is filed under the name Loxodonta africana (African savanna elephant). It matches the Rfam family "tRNA". From Rfam's summary of the family: Transfer RNA (tRNA) molecules are approximately 80 nucleotides in length. Their secondary structure includes four short double-helical elements and three loops (D, anti-codon, and T loops). The record is from Rfam by way of RNAcentral. Lineage: Eukaryota; Metazoa; Chordata; Mammalia; Proboscidea; Elephantidae.